ACACUAAUACACAAAUAUGUAAUACUAAUUUUGAGAAUCAACACUUUCAAUUCACUGAUACUAACACUAAAUUUGAAUCACACGAGAGAUUCUUUCACAGGUAACAUAGACCUUCCGAGUAUUUAUAAACAUGCGUAUCGAGAUUCACAAAACGUUCAUUAAAAUAUAUUUUCUAUACCACUAUAGCAGAGAUCAUUUUUUUAAGCUAUUCCAUACACAUUUCAUAUUAUUUGUUUGUCCUUCCGUUUUCGUUCAAUUUUACUGCGCAUAUAAAACGAAUAAACGAUUACGAAUCGAUUGGUCAACUGUAAGUAUACCAACGGCCCGUAAAGCGUGUAAUAAAUUGAAUAUGGAAUAUCGAGUAAAAAUCAUCAUACAUAAAAAUAAAUUCUUCGCUAAACGAAUUCUCUGUAAAGAGAAUAUGCAUUUAUCUAUCGUUAAAGAGUUCGCGUUGUAAAUUCAAAUCGCUAUUUUUUAUCAGAGACUAAAGUACAAAUACACUAACGAAAACUAACGAAGAACCGUGUGAUGAAUUGAAUGAACCGAACACGUAAAAAUUGAUGAAACCUUGGCCAAACGGAUUUUUCUCUGUUCGAAUAACGAUAGGUGAAACUAUCUUUUGAUAAGGUGAUUGUAUAGUAGAUUUAAGAAUUCAGAUUUUGAUUAUAUGUGAAUUAUAAAUAUACUGACGAAGGCUCGCCUACUAUGUUGGAAUAAAUUGUACGCGUGCUGGUUAGAGAAACGUUCACUACACGGGCUUUCUGUACAAAGAUCAUGAAGCUACUGACUGGCGAACACUGUGCGGUACAGUUAGGCUGUCGUUCGUCCUCAUCAUGUUGUAAAUAUACUGAUGAAGACAGCGAUGGUGAAUAGAUUGGGAAACGUGUCAGUAUAGUUAACAGAAAACGGUUUCUCAAAAUGAGUAUUCAAUUAUUACGUCAUGAAACUCUCAAGGCCAUCGUUAAAUCAUCUUUAAUUGCUGAUAUUUG
RNAcentral lists this unclassified non-coding RNA (989 nucleotides) under Bombus terrestris (buff-tailed bumblebee). Its description in RNAcentral is "misc RNA ENSBTSG00005026746.1". The record is from RNAcentral. Lineage: Eukaryota; Metazoa; Arthropoda; Insecta; Hymenoptera; Apidae.